CUGGGAUGGGCGCUGUUGGCUGCGCGGAUCCACCUAUUAUUAGUGCGCCCGGAUUGGCUCCCCGGCUCAGCGUACCGGCGGUGGAGCCAAUCAGGCGGCCGGGGCUGGGAGAUGACGGGCGGCCGCCUCCUCACUGGAGGGAUUCCUGGAGAAGCUGCAGUGUGGGGAUGCUCUAGACCGAGUACUGCCCCCAGUGUCUUUCCACCUCCUCCUCCUGCAGCGGCGGCGGCAGCACUUGGCAGCGGCAACUUGAGACUGCACCGGGGCAAGCCCUCAGGGUGGUGCUCCCCGGAGAGCGGGGCUUGGUGCCCCGGAGGGGCUGCCCCUCCAAGAGCAGAGGCAGCGAAAGGAGUCGUGUGCACCGGUCAGCCCCGGGAGGCGGUAGGGACCAGCGAGCAGGCACCACCUCCUGUUCCCCGCUCCAGGAAAACCAAGAAAACGAGAACUAGCAAGAACUUGACAAACACCUGCCUUCAGAUUGGAAGACCAGUCACCUGUCAUUCCUGGACACUGUACUGCAGCUGUCUAAGGUACAUGGAAAAAUGUACAAUAUCAAAUGUACCUUUGAUAUCUUUUGUUGAUUAUCUUGUGAUAUGUGGAAGAAAAUGCAUUUGUAUGGAAAAUUAUAGGACUGUGUCUCUUAUUUCAAAUGAAUCUUUUUUGGCAGUAAAGGAAAUAGUAUUGUUCAUAUCUUUUGAAAUUACUACUGGGUGUUAAUGUCCUUGAUGUGCUAGUUUAGUUGAUGGAGCCCUGGCCACCUUUAUGAUGUUGUUGCCUUCUCCCAUUCUCAUUCUGUACUUUAUCAGAUCCAAAGUUGUCAUGGUUCAUUAUCUGUAGAUGAUCUUGAGCAGCCUUGCAUUCUGAAAGAAUAUGCCAUAGCAUCUGCCUCUGUGCUUCUGUGCCCUGCUAUUCAGAUGGGAUUUUAGCAACAGUAUUGGGUAAGGGGAGGGGGUGGAGGCAGAAUUUGUCUCAGGCUGAUGUUUCUUUGUGCCACUCUCUGUCUUACUCUUUC
This 1012-nucleotide long non-coding RNA is filed under the name Capra hircus (goat). Its description in RNAcentral is "lncRNA (ENSCHIG00000001383.1)". The record is from RNAcentral. Lineage: Eukaryota; Metazoa; Chordata; Mammalia; Artiodactyla; Bovidae.